Molecule: ribosomal RNA, 253 nt
Filed under: uncultured bacterium
Lineage: Bacteria
Description: partial 16S ribosomal RNA
Rfam family: Bacterial small subunit ribosomal RNA
Source: RNAcentral
UACGAAGGGUGCAAACGUUGCUCGGAAUUAUUGGGCGUAAAGCGCACGUAGGCGGCUUAGCAAGUCGGAUGUGAAAGCCUUCGGCUUAACCGAAGAAGUGCAUCCGAAACUGCAAAGCUUGAGUACUUAAGAGGAUCGCGGAAUUCCCGGUGUAGAGGUGAAAGUCGUAGAUAGCGGGAGGAACACCAGUGGCGAAGGCGGCGAUCUGGGAAGAUACUGACGCUGAGGUGCGAAAGCGUGGGGAGCAAACAGG